CAAAAGCCAUUGCUUCAUUCCAGACAUCUGAUUUUACUGCUUGUUGGUAGUUCAACGUUGAUUGAAUGGACAAGAUAUAGUGAAAGUAUGAUGGAGAGAGAGAAUUGUAACAUAGAACAGAAGAGAGAAAAUGUGGUGUACCUUUGGAGUAAUGAUUGGUAUUGGCAGUAGAUGAAGCAACAUUACAAUGAUAAUCAACAAGGUCAGUUGGUGUUUUCCUUGUUCUGCUAGAAAAUCUUGUUGGCUGAGAUUGGUUUAGGUUGAAAAAAGAAGGUGGGGAAGGGCCUUGUGGAUUAGAACUAGGAAAAGGAUCUGUAGUCUAUUUCAAAAAUAUUUAAUACCUGAAUAGGAGGUGAAGUUUGGUGAGUCUGACGAGGAAAGACAUGUUCUUGAAAAACGAGAUUCUUUGAAACAAAAUUUUCUUUAUUGUGAAGAUCCCUUAAGACAUACCCCUUUGUUCCUGCUUUAUAGCUAAGAGAAA
This 481-nucleotide long non-coding RNA is filed under the name Manihot esculenta (cassava). RNAcentral describes it as "long non-coding RNA (MESC_LNC008978)". The record is from RNAcentral. Lineage: Eukaryota; Viridiplantae; Streptophyta; Magnoliopsida; Malpighiales; Euphorbiaceae.